GGCUCUAGUGCUUAUUGAUGGUUCUUUUCCUCGCAGCAAGAUAAACAAGCCUAAAAGCCUCAAUUAGCCCUUAAAAACCCAAAGAGCAAGCUAAAGCAUACAAUGCUCUGAAGAUGAUUCAUAACGUCCUGCAUUAACGUUGUCAGUUACAAUCCAUCACAGGGUAAUAGUCUUUAAUAAAUCUCUGAGUAAUUGAGAUGAAUCCCUCAUUUCAAUGACAAGUCUGGUUUUUAAGACCCAAUUACUACUAUGAGCUCUCCCUGGCCCAGCAGAGUGCGGGGUUCUCUGCAGCGGCACAAGAGUGAAGAUAAGAGGCUGGCGAGAUGGACUCGGUCCAAAAAAGCAGGAAAGAUAUCUUCCCCCUCGACGGCACAGCAUCCGAGGGCAGCGUGAUUUACGCUUGUCAGCGAGGUGGACCAGCGCGGAAGAAGGAUGAUGGCCGGCCUCUAUUCUGAUGUUCAAUCCUAUUUCAGCCUGCUGAUUUAAUGCCGGCCAAAUGCAAUCACUACACAAACAAGAGGUAGGGAAUCAUCGACUAAUGGAAGUCCUAAUUGAGAGGCGUCCACUUGUCAUGAG
Oryzias melastigma (Indian medaka) is the source of this 576-nucleotide long non-coding RNA. RefSeq lists it as uncharacterized. Lineage: Eukaryota; Metazoa; Chordata; Actinopteri; Beloniformes; Adrianichthyidae. The record is from RefSeq and is a predicted model, not a curated record. The transcript has 3 exons.